RNAcentral lists this ribosomal RNA (153 nucleotides) under Candidatus Endoriftia persephone str. Guaymas. Its description in RNAcentral is "partial 23S ribosomal RNA". The stretch from base 1 to 133 matches the Rfam family "Bacterial large subunit ribosomal RNA", at positions 2798 to 2925 of the family's 2925-position model. The record is from RNAcentral. Lineage: Bacteria; Pseudomonadati; Pseudomonadota; Gammaproteobacteria; Chromatiales; Sedimenticolaceae.
CCCAAGAUUAGAUCUCGCUGGACCCUUGAGGUCCCUGAAGGUCCGUUAAAGACUAUGACGUUGAUAGGCUGGGUGUGGAAGCGCAGUAAUGUGUGAAGCUAACCAGUACUAAUUGACCGUGAGGCUUGACCAUAUAACCCCAAACGUUUUGGG